CCUACGGGUGGCAGCAGUGAGGAAUAUUGGUCAAUGGGCGGAUGCCUGAACCAGCCAAGUAGCGUGCGGGAUGAAGGCCCUACGGGUCGUAAACCGCUUUUGCACGGGGAUAACACCCUCCACUUGUGGAUUUCUGCAUGUACCGUGCGAAUAAGGGCCGGCUAAUUCCGUGCCAGCAGCCGCGGUAAUACGGAAGGCCCGAGCGUUAUCCGGAUUCAUUGGGCUUAAAGGGAGCGUAGGCGGGCGUUCAAGUCAGCUGUAAAAUCGCGCGGCUCAACCGCGCCCCGCAGUUGAAACUGGAAGCCUUGAGUGAACAACAGGCAGGCGGAAUUCGUGGUGUAGCGGUGAAAUGCAUAGAUAUCACGAGGAAUCCCGAUGGCGAAGGCAGCCUGCCGGGGUGCGACUGACGCUGAGGCUCGAAGGUGCGGGUAUCAAACAGGAUUAGAUACCCCAGUAGUC
RNAcentral lists this ribosomal RNA (459 nucleotides) under uncultured bacterium. RNAcentral describes it as "partial 16S ribosomal RNA". It matches the Rfam family "Bacterial small subunit ribosomal RNA", at positions 338 to 795 of the family's 1533-position model. The record is from RNAcentral.